CCAGAGUCCUACGGGAGGCAGCAGUGGGGAAUCUUCCGCAAUGGACGAAAGUCUGACGGAGCAACGCCGCGUGAGUGAUGACGGCCUUCGGGUUGUAAAGCUCUGUUAAUCGGGACGAAAGGCCUUCUUGCGAAUAGUGAGAAGGAUUGACGGUACCGGAAUAGAAAGCCACGGCUAACUACGUGCCAGCAGCCGCGGUAAUACGUAGGUGGCAAGCGUUGUCCGGAAUUAUUGGGCGUAAAGCGCGCGCAGGCGGAUCAGUCAGUCUGUCUUAAAAGUUCGGGGCUUAACCCCGUGAUGGGAUGGAAACUGCUGAUCUAGAGUAUCGGAGAGGAAAGUGGAAUUCCUAGUGUAGCGGUGAAAUGCGUAGAUAUUAGGAAGAACACCAGUGGCGAAGGCGACUUUCUGGACGAAAACUGACGCUGAGGCGCGAAAGCCAGGGGAGCGAACGGGAUUAGAUACCCCGGUAGUCCUGGCCGUAAACGAUGGGUACUAGGUGUAGGAGGUAUCGACCCCUUCUGUGCCGGAGUUAACGCAAUAAGUACCCCGCCUGGGGAGUACGACCGCAAGGUUGAAACUCAAAGGAAUUGACGGGGGCCCGCACAAG
RNAcentral lists this ribosomal RNA (607 nucleotides) under uncultured bacterium. RNAcentral's name for it is "bacterial SSU rRNA". It matches the Rfam family "Bacterial small subunit ribosomal RNA", at positions 331 to 929 of the family's 1533-position model. The record is from RNAcentral.